Long non-coding RNA from Octopus sinensis (East Asian common octopus), 171 nucleotides. RefSeq lists it as uncharacterized. NCBI's taxonomy places the organism in Eukaryota, Metazoa, Mollusca, Cephalopoda, Octopoda, Octopodidae. The record is from RefSeq and is a predicted model, not a curated record. The transcript has 3 exons.
CCAAUGACUAUGGAAAUAUCUAUUCAUUAACAUACUCUCCAUUGCUUUCAAUCACCCCAUUCCAUCUUUCAACAACCUUAUAAAUGCCUCGCUUGUAAAAUUCUGUAGAUUUAGAACCAAAAUAUGAAUCCAACUCAUUUUCAUUCUUUUCUCUUGUUAUACGAAAUACAG